This is a long non-coding RNA of Cyanistes caeruleus (blue tit), 1556 nucleotides long. Lineage: Eukaryota; Metazoa; Chordata; Aves; Passeriformes; Paridae. The record is from Ensembl.
AUUUUCUUAUGGCAGCACCCAAACAAUGUAAACAUAAAACUAGAAUUUUAUCUGUCAUUGGAAUGCCAGAGGCUCUGGAGUUCAGAGCAGACCUUUGUAAACCAAAUGAGUGCAGUCCAGUAUAUCAAUGCACUCUCCUCAUAAUUUUCCAAUCUUUUUAGUGAAAUAUGUUUAGCCUUUCUGGUGUAAAAGUUUUGCUUGUGACCAUUGUUCACCCCCCAUAAACAAAGCAACCACCUGUUAUUUAAAACUGGAGUAACAGAAGGACUGAGCACCUUCAACCUACUGAAAUCAAUGCUAGUUCAGUUUCUAUACAGUCUUGUGAGUCUGACCUUCAUCUCAUUUUUCCUUUCAUCCAAAGCUGACUGUAAAAUUUGGUUCAAAGGAAUAAAGAAGUGAAAGACAUUUCUGGUCUGGAUGGCAGUGGAAGAGCUCAAUCUCUACAGAAAAUCAGAAGCAUUCCAGUGGAGCUUGACAACCAGAGCAGACUUGAGGCAGACAAGAAAUGGAAGCCACCAUUAGCCAGAACAACACUGUUAACAAGAAACAUUAGGCCACCUCUUUGGAAUUGGAAUAUAUGCCAGACACUUGACACAAGGUUCUAUCAAGCAAAAACAAAGUACAAAUCAGAGGGUCACCAGCAGUUUGAUGGAGCCACCCAAGAUCUGGGAAAGAGAACCAACCUGCCAUGUCUCAGUUUUUGUAGUUUCCAGCUGUGGCUGUGGCUGGAAGGGUGAUGCAUAGCACUGCUAGUGAAUUACAUUACAGAAAUUACUAACAUGCAUGAGGAAGGAUGCCUGAGCCACUCCUUCAAUCAAUGAGCAAUAUCUCCAAAGAGCACUCUCUUCUCCUAUGCCCAAGGCCCUAGGAACAAGGGAAGUGCCACGAGAAAGACUGGGUCCACAGGUCAUCUCUUUCAUACCACAAACACCCCUGUCCUUACUUACUCUGUGAAUUUGGGAAAAAAAAAUAAUGGUGUCUGGGUGCUUCACAAAAGGAAGUGAAAAAUUCCAAAGCAGACAGGAAACACCACACUGCAAUGAAGCCAGCCUUGUGACAAGGGAACAUCCCCUUAUGGACAGACCUUGAGAACGCAAACAAUUUUACAUGUAAGCACUUGAACACACAUACACACGUGUGCAUAUAUACACACACACACAUAAGCAUCUUCCACAAGUCUCAGAGGUUAGAGUUUGACACACUGAACCUUGGGCUGGACCUGGACAAUACUUCUGGUUUUGUGACUAAUGCAAAUUUAAGGUCAUUCUCAGAAUUUUGAGAAUAAUCCUGCACUUGUGAACUUCUCACUCUGGGUUGAAGUGCUCUGUCUGCAAUUACUUCAGAGUGUCAGGGUUGUGAGGGUUAUUCUAGUUACUCAUAAAGUAAAAAGGAGUUAGGGUAAUUGUCUUAUUUUCCACCUGCAAGCUCAUUUUUACAAUAGUUUAUCUUCAUAUUGAGAGCAGUGAAAAAAUAUGGUAUUCAUAUCAAUAUAUUAAUAUUAGUCUCACAUAUUAAUUAAAGUAUAAUAAAUUAACAACACAGAAUUAGAAAUUGCA